GAGUCAGUGAUGACUUGUGCAAAUGCCGUUGCUUGUGUUUAAGCAAGGAGCCACCAGAGAGGCAGAACCAUGCUCAGAAGGUCUAUGAGACAGCUCAAGAAGGAAGGACGGGCCACUCAGGGACUCCUCAGAAGUUGCUCUGAGAAUGUUUGACAGACAGGAUCAAGAGAUUGCCUGCAAAGGCUAAGGGAUUUCCUAAGUAGAAACUCUUCCAUAAUACAAACAGCAACUAUUAAGUAUAAAGCAAAUUUAGUCUGAAAAAUUCA
Ictidomys tridecemlineatus (thirteen-lined ground squirrel) is the source of this 266-nucleotide non-coding RNA. Lineage: Eukaryota; Metazoa; Chordata; Mammalia; Rodentia; Sciuridae. The record is from RefSeq and is a predicted model, not a curated record.